RNAcentral lists this ribosomal RNA (462 nucleotides) under uncultured bacterium. Its description in RNAcentral is "partial 16S ribosomal RNA". It matches the Rfam family "Bacterial small subunit ribosomal RNA", at positions 28 to 507 of the family's 1533-position model. The record is from RNAcentral.
GACGAACGCUGGCGGCGUGCUUAACACAUGCAAGUCGAACGGUGAAGCCCUUCGGGGUGGAUCAGUGGCGAACGGGUGAGUGACACGUGAGCAACCUGCCCCUGGCUCUGGGACAACCACUGGAAACGGUGGCUAAUACCGGAUACGACCCGCCUCGGCAUCGAGUGUGGGUGGAAAGUUUUUCGGCUGGGGAUGGGCUCGCGGCCUAUCAGCUUGUUGGUGAGGUGAAGGCUCACCAAGGCGACGACGGGUAGCCGGCCUGAGAGGGCGACCGGCCACACUGGGACUGAGACACGGCCCAGACUCCUACGGGAGGCAGCAGUGGGGAAUAUUGCACAAUGGGCGAAAGCCUGAUGCAGCGACGCCGCGUGAGGGAUGACGGCCUUCGGGUUGUAAACCUCUUUCAGCUCCGAAGAAGCGAAAGUGACGGUAGGAGCAGAAGAAGCACCGGCUAACUACGUG